UGCAGUCGAGCGGACGGAUGGGAGCUUGCUCCCUGAAGUCAGCGGCGGACGGGUGAGUAACACGUGGGCAACCUGCCUGUAAGACUGGGAUAACUCCGGGAAACCGGGGCUAAUACCGGAUAAUUCUUUCCCUCACAUGAGGGAAAGCUGAAAGAUGGUUUCGGCUAUCACUUACAGAUGGGCCCGCGGCGCAUUAGCUAGUUGGUGAGGUAACGGCUCACCAAGGCGACGAUGCGUAGCCGACCUGAGAGGGUGAUCGGCCACACUGGGACUGAGACACGGCCCAGACUCCUACGGGAGGCAGCAGUAGGGAAUCUUCCGCAAUGGACGAAAGUCUGACGGAGCAACGCCGCGUGAGUGAUGAAGGUUUUCGGAUCGUAAAACUCUGUUGUCAGGGAAGAACAAGUAUCGGAGUAACUGCCGGUACCUUGACGGUACCUGACCAGAAAGCCACGGCUAACUACGUGCCAGCAGCCGCGGUAAUACGUAGGUGGCAAGCGUUGUCCGGAAUUAUUGGGCGUAAAGCGCGCGCAGGCGGUUCCUUAAGUCUGAUGUGAAAGCCCACGGCUCAACCGUGGAGGGUCAUUGGAAACUGGGGAACUUGAGUGCAGAAGAGGAGAGUGGAAUUCCACGUGUAGCGGUGAAAUGCGUAGAGAUGUGGAGGAACACCAGUGGCGAAGGCGACUCUCUGGUCUGUAACUGACGCUGAGGCGCGAAAGC
RNAcentral lists this ribosomal RNA (720 nucleotides) under Bacillus sp. CSu5_13. Its description in RNAcentral is "bacterial SSU rRNA". It matches the Rfam family "Bacterial small subunit ribosomal RNA", at positions 56 to 760 of the family's 1533-position model. The record is from RNAcentral. Lineage: Bacteria; Bacillati; Bacillota; Bacilli; Caryophanales; Bacillaceae.